UUAAAGCUUGUGGAUAUUUCUUCCCCCUCGGGGAAAGCUUAUGUGAGGAUUUUCUUUUUUAACAGUUCAUUCCAUGAAACCGUUUUUUUCUUGUUUGCUGUUAGAAAAUGUUGGAGCUGAACACAAGGCUUUCAUUGCAGUGCGCUUUACUGGGAAGCAUGUUACUCCUGAGCACAUGCUGCUGCAGGGAAGAUAGUUAUUUGCUAUUUUGUAUUUCAUCUUAGAUUGCUAUCAAGGGAACUAGGAAAGGAUGUAAACAUACUGUUAAUGUCUCUCUUCAAGCUGUGUUUGAGGCAGGUUUCCAUAUGAACAGAAACAAAGACUCAGAAGCACGAAGCUUCAUCUCCUAAGGAAAUCUCUUCCAAUAUACUGAGCCGUUUGACCAGAAGUGAUGUUUUCUGUGGGCCUGUGUGUGCUCUGGUGUUUUCAAAGAAGCCCACGAACCCGACAUGAAGUGGAAAGUUGAAGCGCUGUGAUUUGUUAAGUUAAAACAAAGUAGACAUUCUCAACCUAUAGAAAUAUUCUAUUUAAAAAUAAAUCCAAGUGGAUCAUGCAAAGCUAAAAUCUUAAUUCUAUUGAAAGCAAUUGACUUAAGUAAAACUUCAUAGAUAGCUGUGUUUUGCAAGAUAGUUCCUUUUGCUUGUCUUCAGGGUUUUUUUUUCAAUUCCUUUUUCAAAAAAAUAAUUUCAUGGUCAAGUAGAUAGGCUUUCUAUAUUUAAUUUUGUACAGUCUUCUUUUCUUUUACCCCUCUGCCUGGACCUUUUCUGCAGAAGCUUUGCUGUGAUUUAUCUUUUCAAGCUCCCAUAAUAAAGAAUUAGCUAGUUUAAUAGUGAAGCUGAAGUUAGUGAGAUUCAAAUAUUAUGUAAGCCUCAAAUUAAAAAAAAUGAAAAAGAUACUAAGGGUCUAGUGGAGGGCCACAAGGAUGAUCAGGGAUCUGGAGCAUCUCUCUUAGGAGAGACUGCGAGAGCUGGGCCUCUUUAGCCUAGAGAAGAGAACACUGAGAGGGGAUCUCAUUAAUGCAUAUAAAUAUCUCAAAA
Long non-coding RNA from Strigops habroptila (Kakapo), 1037 nucleotides. RefSeq lists it as uncharacterized. NCBI's taxonomy places the organism in Eukaryota, Metazoa, Chordata, Aves, Psittaciformes, Psittacidae. The transcript has 4 exons. The record is from RefSeq and is a predicted model, not a curated record.